This 253-nucleotide ribosomal RNA is filed under the name uncultured prokaryote. RNAcentral describes it as "partial 16S ribosomal RNA". It matches the Rfam family "Bacterial small subunit ribosomal RNA", at positions 525 to 777 of the family's 1533-position model. The record is from RNAcentral.
ACGUAGGGUGCGAGCGUUGUCCGGAAUUACUGGGCGUAAAGAGCUCGUAGGCGGUUUGUCGCGUCGUCUGUGAAAUCCCGCAGCUCAACUGCGGGCUUGCAGGCGAUACGGGCAGACUCGAGUACUGCAGGGGAGACUGGAAUUCCAGGUGUAGCGGUGAAAUGCGUAGAUAUCUGGAGGAAUACCGGUGGCGAAGGCGGCAUCCUGGACCGACAUUGACGCUGAGGAGCGAAAGCUAGGGGAGCAAACGGGA